Alexandromys fortis (reed vole) is the source of this 3957-nucleotide RNA transcript. It is a transcript of the gene named purinergic receptor P2X 5, with no coding region annotated. Lineage: Eukaryota; Metazoa; Chordata; Mammalia; Rodentia; Cricetidae. The transcript has 12 exons. The record is from RefSeq and is a predicted model, not a curated record.
CACUCGGUGCGCGCGUCCUUGCGGGCCAGUAGCCGGAGGCACAGCUCGGUGGUGUCGCCGUGUCAGUGGAGGUGGCCGCAUCCCAGGCUGGGCGCUCGCUGCAGUCCGGCUCCCCGCGGCGGCGGGGUCCUCCCGGCGUCCCGGUGCUCGCGCCCGGGUCUGCGCGCCCGCCCUCCGGCUCACGCCCUUUGGAGCCGCGCGUCCGGGACUGCGGCAGCGCACGCAAGGGUACUCGGUUGGCCGCGGGGCGGCAGGAGGCAGAGGCGGCCGGAGUGAGCCGGAGGUAUGGGCCAGGCGGCCUGGAAGGGGUUCGCCCAGUCGCUGUUCGACUAUAAGACCGCAAAGUUCGUGGUCGCCAAGAGCAAGAAGGUGGGGCUGCUCUACCGGCUGCUGCAGCUCACCAUCCUGUUGUACUUGCUCAUAUGGGUGUUUCUGAUAAAGAAGAGUUACCAAGAUAUUGACACUUCCCUGCAGAGUGCUGUGGUCACCAAAGUCAAGGGCGUGGCCUAUACCAAUACCACUAUGCUCGGAGAACGGCUCUGGGAUGUAGCCGACUUUGUCAUUCCAUCUCAGGGGGAGAACGUUUUCUUCGUGGUCACCAACCUGAUCGUGACUCCUAACCAGCGGCAGGGCAUCUGUGCUGAGCGUGAAGGCAUUCCUGAUGGCGAGUGUUCUGAGGACACUGACUGCAGUGCUGGGGAGCCUGUUGUCGCUGGACAUGGGCUGAAAACUGGUCGCUGUCUACGGGUGGGGAACUCUACCCAGGGUACCUGUGAGAUCUUCGCUUGGUGCCCAGUGGAGACAAUGUCCAUGCCAACGGAUCCCCUCCUGAAGGAUGCUGAAGGCUUCACCAUUUUCAUAAAGAACUUCAUUCGCUUCCCCAAGUUCAACUUCUCCAAAGCCAAUGUGCUAGAAACAAACAACAAAGACUUCCUGAAAACCUGUCACUUCAGCUCCAAGAACCUCUACUGUCCCAUCUUCCGGCUGGGGUCCAUUGUCCGCUGGGCAGGGGCUGACUUCCAGGAUAUAGCCCUGAAGGGUGGUGUGAUAGGAAUCCAUAUCGAAUGGGACUGUGACCUCGAUAAAGCUGCCUCUAAAUGCAACCCACGCUAUUAUUUCAACCGUCUGGACAACAAGCACACCAAAUCCAUCUCCUCUGGGUACAACUUCAGGUUCGCCAGGUAUUACCGUGACCCUAACGGGGUAGAGUUCCGUGACCUGAUGAAAGCCUAUGGCAUCCGCUUUGACGUAAUCGUCAACGGUAAGGCGGGAAAAUUCAGCAUCAUCCCUACCGUCAUCAACAUAGGUUCUGGGCUGGCGCUCAUGGGUGCCGUGAGUACCUCCCCUGCCUUGCUGGCUUCCUGGGGAAAGGGAGGUAGAGCAUGCUGAGCCCAGCACACAGGAGGCCUGUGAGGUCACAGGGACAAGGGUGAUGUCACACGCUGCCCGCUCCCCCAGGGGACACUGACUGCGUAGCUCUGACUGUGAGCUGGAGUGGAGUGUGCCACAGGUCGAUUGCCCUCCAGUCCGGUGUGGGCUGGAAGCUUUGGGAUUCUGGGUCUAAAAAUCUCCAUCUCCAGUACUGGUAAUGGGAAACUGAUUAGGCUAUGCCAAUUUGAGCAGUGUUGACAUUCGGGGGCAGGGGCUUCUUUGCUUUGGGGGUGUCCUGUGCAAUUGGUUUAAGUGAAUCCCUAAUCUUCAUUCACUAGUGGGACCUUCCCACAGCUGUGUUGCUCAACAAUGGUCUCCGUUUGAGAACCUGCAUUUGAGAGGGUGAGAGGCAGGGUAGAUAGUCUAGUAAUCCUUUGGGGUGGGCGUCUAGCCACCCAUAGUAGGGAAUGGCUAGAGUUCAGGGAGGGCUUCCUGCAGAUGCCCGUCAUACCCUUGGCACUUCGGGGAAGAGGUUAAAUGUGGGAGUUGUAGGAGUCCAGGUUGGGAGCUCAUGCCAACACAGCCAGUUCCCUGCCAAGACUGCCAGAGGUGGCUUCUCUCCCCAGCCUAGGCAGCCCAAGCAGCUACUAGAAGAUUCUGUCAGGACCCGGGAUAGACUUUGCAUUGAGACUGGGAAGCCUGUCUUGACAAGGGACUAAGAGUGAUCCCUAACAAUGGGCGGUGGUGGCACACACCUUUAAUCCCAGCACUCAGGAGGCAGAGGCAGGCGGAUCUCUGAGUUUGAGGCCAGCCUGUUCUGCUGAGUGAGUUCUAGGAUAGCCAGGGCUACACAGAGAAACACAGUCUCAAAAGACAAAACAAAACAGUGGUCCCUAAGUGGAGUGUUUUGGAUUCAAGCAGUCUUCCUUAGGGAUGCCUCACUGUGUGCAGGUAUAGCGCUCAUUCAAUGUAGGUAAAUUCUGAAGUCUGGGGACACAGCUGUGAAGUGAAGGCAAGGGUGCACUGUGUCAAUGGAGGGUUCUCUGUCCCACCCUGACCCACAGCCACUUCUAAGCAAUCACUCAGAGGCUUAAUAUUAAUUACAGAAUGUUUGGCCUAUAGUUCAGGCUUAUCCCUAACUGGCUUUUACAUUUAAAUUAACCCAUUUCUAUUGAUCAAUGUAUUGCCACAUGUCCGUGGUGCUACUGAUCUGCUGGCAUCUUGCUCUUUGGGCAGCUGGCUGCUGUCCUUUCGACUUUGUCCUUCUCUUCUCUUUAUCUCUGUUUGGCUUUCCUCCCUAGCUGUAUUCUGCCUGGCUAUAGGCCAACUCAGCUUUUGUUAUCUACCAACGAGAGCAACACAAAUACACAGCGUACAGAAAAGUUAUCCCACAGUAUUAUGGAAGGUGGUGGUGAAGGGUGAGGGAAAAUGUAGGAACGAAGAAUUGAUAAAUGACAUUUCUGGAGUCUAGGGAAGACAGGAAGAAGGGCACACUCUACUCAGGGCCUCCUCUGCCUUCAGGAACACCUCUAUCCCUGCUCCAUAGGUAGAGUCGCCCUCUGUUGGAGCAGACUGGCAUUACAUACACCGUGCUCUGAUCUGUGUUCAGGGGUGAUUAGUCCAUGACAACUGGAUCUGCUCAGGCUUCCUGUCUUUUUCUGACCACAGUUGUAAUGUCCUUGUUGUCAAGGUUAAGAUGCCUGCUGGUCCAUCUUACACCGGCUAUCAGGGCUCUCUUCAAAUGAGCACAGCUGCUGCUCUCUUGCCUCCCCGCAAAGGACCAGGACCAAUGUCUACAAGACAUUCUCAGACACGCUGGUUCUCACCCCCACCGGAAGCACCUUUUGCUCUUCCCCCACAGGCCCUGAUCAUUUCCUGGUGAUGACAAGCCUGCCUUUCCCUUUGCCAUGCAAUUCCAGGCCUCUAGUUCAGCGACCCAGGCUGAGUGAACGCUGCCCUUCACCUGCUCCCAAUCCCAUUCCCAUUACAGGGCUGAUGACUAUAUCACAAUCUGCUUGUUUCCUGCAGCACAGCAAGUCCCUAGGUCUCUGUGGUCCACACCUUCCUGGCCCCCCAGUGCAAAUCUGGCCGGUAAUAGAUUCUUAGCAGAUAUGUUGAAGUUAGAUUUGGUCAGGGCAGGAAGGUGCGCUUGGGCCAUGGAAUCAGGAGGCACUCCCAGAGCUCACCUGUGUCUACCAUGGAGCGGCUUUGUGCCCCUGGACAUCACUCCUUUCUGGGAUGUUUCCUUUUUUGUUGUUGUUGUUUUUGUUUGUUUGUUUGUUUUUGUUUUUCAAGACAGGGUUUCUCUGUAGCUUUGGAGUCUGCUCUGGAACUAGCUUUUGUAGACCAGGCUGGCCUCGAACUCACAAAGAUCUGCCUGUCUCUGCGUCUCUGCCUCCUGAGUGCUGGGUUUAAAGGCGUGCGCCACCACUGCCCCGGCCUGGGAUGUUUCUUUAUGUUCAGGGGGCUUUCUUCUGCGACCUGGUGCUCAUCUACCUCAUCAGGAAGAGCGAGUUUUACCGAGACAAGAAGUUUGAGAAAGUGAAGGGUCAGGAGGAGGAAACCAAUGUGGAGCUCGAAGCCAAC